GAACGCAUAUUGCACUCUCUGGUAUUCCGGAGAGUAUGCCUGUUUGAGGGUCUGUUAAAUAAAAAUCGAGGUUGUUGCUGCCUUUUUUGUGUGGUGACGCUUUGGAAUUGGGUUUUCUUUACCUUCGGGUUAAGUGGCCUAAAAUUUUUACAUGAUUUUUCGAACGUAUUUAAAUCUUUUACGUACGUUUGGUUAUAUCGAAUAUAUUAGGUGUGGUCAUCUUCAUGAUUUCACGUCUAUAAUUUUUUCAUUUUUAGACCUCAAAUCAGGUAAGAACACCCGCUGAACUUAAG
Molecule: unclassified non-coding RNA, 293 nt
Filed under: uncultured Glomeraceae
Lineage: Eukaryota; Fungi; Glomeromycota; Glomeromycetes; Glomerales; Glomeraceae
Description: sequence contains 5.8S rRNA gene
Rfam family: 5.8S ribosomal RNA (bases 1-53)
Source: RNAcentral